Molecule: ribosomal RNA, 253 nt
Filed under: uncultured bacterium
Lineage: Bacteria
Description: partial 16S ribosomal RNA
Rfam family: Bacterial small subunit ribosomal RNA
Source: RNAcentral
UACGUAGGGUGCAAGCGUUAAUCGGAAUUACUGGGCGUAAAGCGUGCGCAGGCGGUUAUAUAAGACAGAUGUGAAAUCCCCGGGCUCAACCUGGGAACUGCAUUUGUGACUGUAUAGCUAGAGUACGGCAGAGGGGGAUGGAGUUCCGCGUGUAGCAGUGAAAUGCGUAGAUAUGCGGAGGAACACCGAUGGCGAGGGCAAUCCCCUGGGCCUGUACUGACGCUCAUGCACGAAAGCGUGGGGAGCAAACAGG